GGCUGUGGCUCAGUGGUAGAGCACUCACCUGGCAUGUAUGAGGCACUGGGUUCAAUCCUCAGCACCA
RNAcentral lists this transfer RNA (67 nucleotides) under Marmota monax (woodchuck). RNAcentral describes it as "tRNA.Ala". It matches the Rfam family "tRNA", at positions 6 to 65 of the family's 71-position model. Rfam says of the family: Transfer RNA (tRNA) molecules are approximately 80 nucleotides in length. Their secondary structure includes four short double-helical elements and three loops (D, anti-codon, and T loops). Further hydrogen bonds mediate the characteristic L-shaped molecular structure. tRNAs have two regions of fundamental functional importance: the anti-codon, which is responsible for specific mRNA codon recognition, and the 3' end, to which the tRNAs corresponding amino acid is attached (by aminoacyl-tRNA synthetases). tRNAs cope with the degeneracy of the genetic code in two manners: having more than one tRNA (with a specific anti-codon) for a particular amino acid; and 'wobble' base-pairing, i.e. permitting non-standard base-pairing at the 3rd anti-codon position. Lineage: Eukaryota; Metazoa; Chordata; Mammalia; Rodentia; Sciuridae. The record is from RNAcentral.